CAGAAAUAAUGUGUUUUCUUUGUGUGCAUAUCCCUACAAGUUAGGAAUAAUUAUCCUCAAAAAAAAAAGUUAGAACUAAUGUGUUUUCACCCCUAAAAAACCAGGACUGAACUUCCAUGGAGCACAAAACAUGAGGGCGUCAGCCAGAAGAGAAGCUGAUAAUUAAAGCACCAAACUCUUCUACUGGUAGUUCAACAACAGCAUACAUUACAACAAGUCCAAACAAACAAUACGGUUCAUACACGCUACGACAUCCCGGAUAAUGGUGCACGACAAGUUCAACCCUUCUCAAAUCUCAAAGGUACUAGAAAUCUAAGACGAACCGGACUAUCUCACAGACAAAGCGGCGCUACAAGCUCCAUCGAUCGGCCAUGGUACCGGGCACUAAACGAGGCGCUAGUGCCUACUGCUUGCCCUUGCCAGUGUUGAUGACUCUGACAGCGUUGUUCACGCCAGCGGUUUUCUCAUUUGGGAUCGCUCCGCCCUCUGGAAGAUCGAACUUGCGGCGGUUGAACGACCUCUGCUUCCCUGGUGGCUGCGGGUCCACGAUCUCCAGCAUGCUCUCCAGUUCCUCCAGCAUAGAUUUCUUCGCCGUCCUCACCAUGAAGUCAGGUCCCUGGGCAGAGAGGGAAUAAGAUUAGUUGCCAAGGAAUAAGGUUACUGAAAGAUAAUGCAAUGAUAGGAAGCACCCCAUAAAGGACUGAAAGAUAACAGAAGAAUAUGCUGGCUAUUUCGAGUUCGGAAAUUAUGAGAGUUAUAAACACAGCAGCAGAUGAAUUGGCACAUAGGUCGUAGGAGCAUCAUUUCAGUUCACAAGCUCCUCCGGGAGCAAAGGCGGGAUGACAGAAAAUUAUUCAGUUAUCACAAGAAAUUCCAAGACUGCAUUCUCCUUCACUACACUCAAUAAAAACAUGGCCUUAGAAAUCAUAAGCUGAAACAAAAGCUUAAAUGCCCAGAGGCACCCGCACUUGAUAUACCAUUACCAGGGGCAUCAUUCGGUAGAAAAUAUAACAACUGGGAAACAUGCAGCGGCGCCGAAUGUAAUAAUAUUAUCUCAUACUUGGACCUAAUGAAGCAUCCAAGAUACUACUGAGAACAGAGAUCAAACAUUACUCGUCAAUAUGAUAUUUAUUUCUAUAGUGAGGAGUGCUGACACCCAUUCUAGCACAUU
RNAcentral lists this long non-coding RNA (1171 nucleotides) under Triticum aestivum (bread wheat). RNAcentral describes it as "long non-coding RNA (TAES_LNC017282)". Lineage: Eukaryota; Viridiplantae; Streptophyta; Magnoliopsida; Poales; Poaceae. The record is from RNAcentral.